AUAUGUUUUAGUUGUAGUGUUUUUAGAUCAUGGUAGUAAAUAUUAGCAAUAUAUAUCAAAUAGAUUGGUACAUGGGUAUUUAUCUUAUUUAAACAAGUUCUGCAUUUUUGUAAUUGUUAUUGGGACACUAAAUUGUGUACAUGUUUAUAGGUUUAGCCCUGUUCUAAAAGCUGCUGAGGGAAGAACAUACAGAAAUUUGGUAUCACAGAAUUUCAAAAAAGAACUCUAAUUCCCACCUCCUCCCCUGCUUCCACCUG
Molecule: long non-coding RNA, 257 nt
Filed under: Mytilus galloprovincialis (Mediterranean mussel)
Lineage: Eukaryota; Metazoa; Mollusca; Bivalvia; Mytilida; Mytilidae
Source: RNAcentral